AGCGGGGUGGAGCAGCCCGGUAGCUCGUCAGGCUCAUAACCUGAAGGUCGUCAGUUCAAAUCUGGCCCCCGCAACCA
This 77-nucleotide transfer RNA is filed under the name Allobosea sp. 127. Its description in RNAcentral is "Bosea sp. 127 tRNA-Met". It matches the Rfam family "tRNA". From Rfam's summary of the family: Transfer RNA (tRNA) molecules are approximately 80 nucleotides in length. Their secondary structure includes four short double-helical elements and three loops (D, anti-codon, and T loops). The record is from RNAcentral. RNAcentral also lists the same sequence under 1 other name. Lineage: Bacteria; Pseudomonadati; Pseudomonadota; Alphaproteobacteria; Hyphomicrobiales; Alloboseaceae.